RNAcentral lists this long non-coding RNA (753 nucleotides) under Pogona vitticeps (central bearded dragon). Its description in RNAcentral is "lncRNA (ENSPVIG00000002343.1)". Lineage: Eukaryota; Metazoa; Chordata; Lepidosauria; Squamata; Agamidae. The record is from RNAcentral.
UAGUGUAAAGAUUGCAACUAUGCUCUUAAGGAACAGAGAAGCCUAAGGGUGUGGCAGAUGAUGGCAUAGCCCCUCCCAAUCCUGCAACCACUGGCUCUACUAUACCACUGUUUGUGCUCCUCAAGGAAAGGCAAACCUCUAGCCUUAGGUUCUUGCUGUGGCUCCUACAGCCACUAUAACUCAGGGAUUUUGAAAUAAGGCACUUGAUUCCUAUGAUAAAGUAAGCUGCAACUAGAGUAGACCCAUUUAAAUCAAUGGAACCUACAGGUGAGUUGCAAAUUCCCACUGAUUCAGUGAACCUACUCUAGUGUGAUUAACUACAUUCAUCAACAGGAUUUCAGCUACUGAUGCUAUUAAUCUAAUUUACAUUGCAGUUAUAACAUAAGGAAUAUCUUCUUUCUGAGAUGCAAUAGUAACUUUAGCUACUUUCCUACUACUGAAGUCUAACUUUAGCUACUGUCCUCACUAACAUGUUUCUCCCAAGCUCUGAUUGCUGUGCUGAUUGGGUGAAGCUUUUCUAAAUGAUAAAGCUUCUAAAAUGGCCUCCCACAAUCAACAGUCUUGAGCUCUGCUGUAAAACUAUUUGUGAAAACUGAGAUCACUCACAACAAAUCACAAAUGAGCCUCAUACAUAGGCAACACAGUUUGGUGUCCAUUGGAGCCACAGUUUUCAAAAGAAGGACGCUCAGCGGUAAAGACCUGCUCAGGUCUCACACCAGUGGGGGACAGAGACAGAGGCUUUGUUUGAUUUGA